Molecule: unclassified non-coding RNA, 799 nt
Filed under: Hevea brasiliensis (rubber tree)
Lineage: Eukaryota; Viridiplantae; Streptophyta; Magnoliopsida; Malpighiales; Euphorbiaceae
Source: RNAcentral
AUGAGAAUCAUCUCUUUCUACAUAAUUAAACAUUAUAAACAUCAAUUGGUCAACAUUUUACCAAAACCCUAGUUCUCACCAAAACCCUAAUUCUCUUCUUCACAAUUUCAUGCACAUGCAAUUCUCAUGCAAUUCACUACUCAAAUCAUGUCCACAUCAUCAUUUAAGCAAGAUUACAUGUUCAAUUCCAUUAAAUCACCUCAAACCAUACUCCCCCCAUGGCUGGCCGAAUUUUUAAUCCCUCCAUACAUGUAUGUUAUCUUCAAUUUCUUAUCUCAAUUCUUCAAAAUUAAACUUAAUUUCAAGAAAUGAAGUGUAAAGGAAGCUAGAUGGUUCACUUACCUCUUAUGGAGUUCUCCCAAUCUUCCAAACCUUCAAGCUUAUUCUAUUUUCUUUGCUUCUAAUCUUCAAAUUAAGGUUUAAUUUGAGAUUUUCUACUAAUUUGGUGGGAGGUUUAUGGAGGGAAAGUGGAGAUUUAAGCUUAGGCUUAGGUGAAAAUGGAAGAAAUUUGAGAGAAUGAGAGAGAGAGAGCCAGCUGAAUUUUUGAAGAAGAUAAUUUGUUUUUUUUUUUUAAUGUCUUUUUUUACAUAUAAUUAUCCCCAAAUUUAUAAAAUUUAAAAUUAUAAAUUUAAUUAGGUCAUACUUAGGUAAUAAUGUCAUAAAGCAUUAAAAUUAAGAUUUUUCAUUUCUUUCAUUUUCUUUUCUCUACACAUCUCUAUAUUUUUAGCUAUUUUUUAUUAUUUUAACCUCAUACCUUUAAGUGGAUACUUAGGUAAAAAAUCACCUCUAGGGGUGAAUU